RNAcentral lists this ribosomal RNA (832 nucleotides) under Porogramme cf. epimiltina RG-2014. RNAcentral describes it as "eukaryotic LSU rRNA". The stretch from base 535 to 832 matches the Rfam family "Eukaryotic large subunit ribosomal RNA", at positions 1 to 292 of the family's 3401-position model. The record is from RNAcentral. Lineage: Eukaryota; Fungi; Basidiomycota; Agaricomycetes; Polyporales; Polyporaceae.
UAACGAGUUGAACGGGGUUGUAGCUGGCCUUCACGGGCAUGUGCACACCUCACUCAUCCACUCUACACCUGUGCACUCACUGUGGGUUUCGAGAGGCCGCGCUUGCGUGGUUGAUCGGGCUCACGUCUAUUACAAACUCUUCAGUAUCAGAAUGUGUAUCGCGAUGUAACGCAUCUAUAUACAACUUUCAGCAACGGAUCUCUUGGCUCUCGCAUCGAUGAAGAACGCAGCGAAAUGCGAUAAGUAAUGUGAAUUGCAGAAUUCAGUGAAUCAUCGAAUCUUUGAACGCACCUUGCGCUCCUUGGUAUUCCGAGGAGCAUGCCUGUUUGAGUGUCGUGUAAUUCUCAACCUAUAAAUCCUUGUGGUUUUUAGGCUUGGACUUGGAGGCUUUUGCUGGCUUUACCGUCGGCUCCUCUUAAACGCAUUAGCUUGAUUCCUUGCGGAUCGGCUCUCAGUGUGAUAAUUAUCUGCGCUGUGACCGUGAAGCGUUUGGCGAGCUUCUAACCGUCUCUUCGAGACAAACACUUUGACAUCUGACCUCAAAUCAGGUAGGACUACCCGCUGAACUUAAGCAUAUCAAUAAGCGGAGGAAAAGAAACUAACAAGGAUUCCCCUAGUAACUGCGAGUGAAGCGGGAAGAGCUCAAAUUUAAAAUCUGGCGGUCUUUGGCCGUCCGAGUUGUAGUCUGGAGAAGUGCUUUCCGCGCUGGACCGUGUACAAGUCUCUUGGAACAGAGCGUCAUAGAGGGUGAGAAUCCCGUCUUUGACACGGACUACCAGUGCUUUGUGAUGCGCUCUCAAAGAGUCGAGUUGUUUGGGAAUGCAGCUCAAAA